AGAGUUUGAUCAUGGCUCAGGACGAACGCUGGCGGCGUGCCUAAUACAUGCAAGUCGAACGAACUCUGGUAUUGAUUGGUGCUUGCAUCAUGAUUUACAUUUGAGUGAGUGGCGAACUGGUGAGUAACACGUGGGAAACCUGCCCAGAAGCGGGGGAUAACACCUGGAAACAGAUGCUAAUACCGCAUAACAACUUGGACCGCAUGGUCCGAGUUUGAAAGAUGGCUUCGGCUAUCACUUUUGGAUGGUCCCGCGGCGUAUUAGCUAGAUGGUGGGGUAACGGCUCACCAUGGCAAUGAUACGUAGCCGACCUGAGAGGGUAAUCGGCCACAUUGGGACUGAGACACGGCCCAAACUCCUACGGGAGGCAGCAGUAGGGAAUCUUCCACAAUGGCGAAAGUCUGAUGGAGCAACGCCGCGUGAGUGAAGAAGGGUUUCGGCUCGUAAAACUCUGUUGUUAAAGAAGAACAUAUCUGAGAGUAACUGUUCAGGUAUUGACGGUAUUUAACCAGAAAGCCACGGCUAACUACGUGCCAGCAGCCGCGGUAAUACGUAGGUGGCAAGCGUUGUCCGGAUUUAUUGGGCGUAAAGCGAGCGCAGGCGGUUUUUUAAGUCUGAUGUGAAAGCCUUCGGCUCAACCGAAGAAGUGCAUCGGAAACUGGGAAACUUGAGUGCAGAAGAGGACAGUGGAACUCCAUGUGUAGCGGUGAAAUGCGUAGAUAUAUGGAAGAACACCAGUGGCGAAGGCGGCUGUCUGGUCUGUAACUGACGCUGAGGCUCGAAAGUAUGGGUAGCAAACAGGAUUAGAUACCCUGGUAGUCCAUACCGUAAACGAUGAAUGCUAAGUGUUGGAGGGUUUCCGCCCUUCAGUGCUGCAGCUAACGCAUUAAGCAUUCCGCCUGGGGAGUACGGCCGCAAGGCUGAAACUCAAAGGAAUUGACGGGGGCCCGCACAAGCGGUGGAGCAUGUGGUUUAAUUCGAAGCUACGCGAAGAACCUUACCAGGUCUUGACAUACUAUGCAAAUCUAAGAGAUUAGACGUUCCCUUCGGGGACAUGGAUACAGGUGGUGCAUGGUUGUCGUCAGCUCGUGUCGUGAGAUGUUGGGUUAAGUCCCGCAACGAGCGCAACCCUUAUUAUCAGUUGCCAGCAUUAAGUUGGGCACUCUGGUGAGACUGCCGGUGACAAACCGGAGGAAGGUGGGGAUGACGUCAAAUCAUCAUGCCCCUUAUGACCUGGGCUACACACGUGCUACAAUGGAUGGUACAACGAGUUGCGAACUCGCGAGAGUAAGCUAAUCUCUUAAAGCCAUUCUCAGUUCGGAUUGUAGGCUGCAACUCGCCUACAUGAAGUCGGAAUCGCUAGUAAUCGCGGAUCAGCAUGCCGCGGUGAAUACGUUCCCGGGCCUUGUACACACCGCCCGUCACACCAUGAGAGUUUGUAACACCCAAAGUCGGUGGGGUAACCUUUUAGGAACCAGCCGCCUAAGGUGGGACAGAUGAUUAGGGUGAAGUCGUAACAAGGUAGCCGUAGGAGAACCUGCGGUUGGAU
RNAcentral lists this ribosomal RNA (1549 nucleotides) under Lactiplantibacillus pentosus. Its description in RNAcentral is "Lactobacillus pentosus 16S ribosomal RNA". It matches the Rfam family "Bacterial small subunit ribosomal RNA". The record is from RNAcentral. Lineage: Bacteria; Bacillati; Bacillota; Bacilli; Lactobacillales; Lactobacillaceae.